This 1375-nucleotide ribosomal RNA is filed under the name uncultured organism. Its description in RNAcentral is "bacterial SSU rRNA". It matches the Rfam family "Bacterial small subunit ribosomal RNA", at positions 44 to 1409 of the family's 1533-position model. The record is from RNAcentral.
AGGCUUAAUACAUGCAAGUCGAACGGUAACAGUGGAGAACUUCGGUGAUCCAGCUGACGAGUGGCGCACGGGUGAGUAACGCGUACGCAACCUGCCUUCAAGAGCGGGAUAGCCCCGGGAAACUGGGAUUAAUACCGCAUAGCAUUAACGAUUCACCUGGAUUGUUAAUUAAAGCUAAGGCGCUUGAAGAUGGGCGUGCGUGCUAUUAGCUAGUUGGUGAGGUAACGGCUCACCAAGGCGACGAUAGCUAGGGGGCGUGAGAGCGUGACCCCCCACACGGGUACUGAGACACGGACCCGACUCCUACGGGAGGCAGCAGUCUAGAAGCUUCCACAAUGGACGAAAGUCUGAUGGAGCGACGCCGCGUGCGGGAUGAAGCCCUUGCGGGUGUAAACCACUGUCAGCAGGGAAGAAUGCCCUGAUGGUGAAUCAGGGAGAGACGGUACCUGCAGAGGAAGCACCGGCUAAUUCCGUGCCAGCAGCCGCGGUAAUACGGAAGGUGCAAACGUUGCUCGGAAUUACUGGGCGUAAAGGGUGCGUAGGCGGUUUGAUAAGUCUAACGUGAAAUCCCACGGCUCAACCGUGGAACUGCGCUGGAAACUGUUGAACUUGAGGAUGGGAGAGGCAAGUGGAAUUCCUGGUGUAGCGGUGGAAUGUGUAGAGAUCAGGAAGAACACUCGUGGCGAAGGCGGCUUGCUGGCCCAUUUCUGACGCUGAGGCACGAAAGCCAGGGGAGCGAACGGGAUUAGAUACCCCGGUAGUCCUGGCCGUAAACGGUGGAUACUAGGUGUCGGGGGUAUCGACCCCCUCGGUGCCGACGCAAACGCAUUAAGUAUCCCGCCUGGGGAGUACGACCGCAAGGUUGAAACUCAAAGGAAUUGGCGGGGGCCCGCACAAGCGGUGGAGGAUGUGGUUUAAUUCGACGCAACGCGCAGAACCUUACCUGGGCUUAAACCGCAGGGUACACCCCCUGAAAGGGGGGCUGCUUCGGCAAUCCUGUACAGGUGCUGCAUGGCCGUCGUCAGCUCGUGUCGUGAGAUGUUGGGUUAAGUCCCGCAACGAGCGCAACCCUUACUCUUAGUUACCAGCAUUUCGGAUGGGGACUCUAGGAGGACUGCCGUCGUAAGGCGGAGGAAGGUGGGGAUGACGUCAGGUCAGCAUGGCCCUUAUGUCCAGGGCUACACACGUCCUACAAUGGCGAGUACAACGGGCAGCUGGCUCGCGAGAGUCAGCAAAUCCCUUAAAGCUCGUCCCAGUUCAGAUUGCAGUCUGCAACCCGACUGCAUGAAGGCGGAAUCGCUAGUAGUCGCGCAUCAGCCAUGGCGCGGUGAAUACGUUCCCGGACCUUGUACACACCGCCCGUCAAACCAUGGGA